This 455-nucleotide ribosomal RNA is filed under the name uncultured bacterium. Its description in RNAcentral is "bacterial SSU rRNA". It matches the Rfam family "Bacterial small subunit ribosomal RNA", at positions 1 to 507 of the family's 1533-position model. The record is from RNAcentral.
AGUAGUUUGAUCAGUGGCUCAGAACGAACGCUGGCGGCAUGCCUAACACAUGCAAGUCGAACGAGACCUUCGGGUCUAGUGGCGCACGGGUGCGUAACGCGUGGGAAUCUGCCCUUUGCUUCGGAAUAACAGUUAGAAAUGACUGCUAAUACCGGAUGAUGUCUUCGGACCAAAGAUUUUAUCGGCAAAGGAUGAGCCCGCGUAGGAUUAGGUAGUUGGUGGGUAAAGGCCUACCAAGCCGACGAUCCUUAGCUGGUCUGAGAGGAUGAUCAGCCACACUGGGACUGAGACACGGCCCAGGCUCCUACGGGAGGCAGCAGUGGGGAAUAUUGGACAAUGGGCGCAAGCCUGAUCCAGCAAUGCCGCGUGAGUGAUGAAGGCCUUCGGGUCGUAAAGCUCUUUUACCAGGGAUGAUAAUGACAGUACCUGGAGAAUAAGCUCCGGCUAACUCCGUG